GUGGCUGUAGUUUAGUGGUUAGAAAUUUACGUUUUGGCCGCAAGGACCUGGGAUCGACUCCCAACAACUACA
Molecule: transfer RNA, 72 nt
Filed under: Salix viminalis (osier)
Lineage: Eukaryota; Viridiplantae; Streptophyta; Magnoliopsida; Malpighiales; Salicaceae
Rfam family: tRNA
About the family: Transfer RNA (tRNA) molecules are approximately 80 nucleotides in length.
Source: RNAcentral